AAAGGUGUCACCACGGGGAGCCACGACGGCCGUGAGGUUGCGCGGCCACCGGAUCGCCAUGGACGAGAAGCAGAGAGAGACAGAGAGAGGAGCAUCCGAUGAGGGCUUCUAAUUUCAGGCAGGAUCCUCUACAAAGUGACAUCAUGGAUGGCUCUUGACGUCAUAUACAACUUGCUCUCUCCCGUCCAUUAAUAAAAGCCGGCUUGAGCGAAGCAUCGGAUCCGACAAACUCGGUCGGUUCUAGACCGGGUUGCCCAAGACUUGCGCGUCUAGAACGAAAGUGACCCUCGCUUCAUUUACCAACUGGCGUACCUGCUUAGUUAUUAGUUUCUGCUGGUGGCUCCUGCUCGGUCCCACAUGGCCCUCUUUUACUGAGUUACGAUCACCGUCUUCACUUGCAUUCCCUCGGCUUCGGAGCUCUCAGCGAUCGCUGGCGCUGCCUCGGCUCCGACUUCAAGUCCUGGCUUCAGCUCAGUUUUUAGGGCUUUUCAGCACAACAUUCGCCUCUAAAACUUGAAAUUGGUUGAGCAAGAAGAUGGGAUACUAAUCCUCACACCCUAGGAAGCAUCAAACUGUAGGGAAACAACAGUGUAGAAUUAAGGUAAAUUGCAAUAGUGUUUCCCCUUGUUUAUCUCUAUUCCUUGCGGAGUUGUAAUUUGCUUACAGCAAUAAAGCUUCAAGUUGAAUUAAUCCCAACUAAUCAGAGUCGGCUACACCGAGUUUAUUGAGCUCUAUGCAAGGCAAUAUCUCUACUAAAAUUUAGCACUUUUUGUGCAUUAACAAAUAUUGUAUCUAUUUGGAUGGGAGGAAAUGAAAGUUAAGUGAAAUAGGUUAGUUGAAGUAAACCUUCUCAAGACCUGAUUGAUCUCCCAAGAUUUGUCGACCACUCAGGUAAGAAAUUAGAUAGAAUACAAAUUUGCUUGCCUAUUUUAUGCUUCCUUUCACCAUGAAUUGUCAUCUUUGAUUUCACCUGUAUACUGUCAAAAAUCGUUUAAACUUUGCUGUAACUAGUGGUUGAUCUAUCUGUGCUUUUUUGUUGCACUUUUCAGUUUGUUCUUUGUCUUCCUCUUUGUUUGCCCAGCCAAAAAAGCGAAACAAGCCUAGCAGAAAUUUUAUUUGUGAUGAACCGAUGUGGUAAUGUAAAACAUCUAGAUAAGCUGAAAUAAUCGUGAACAUAUCAUUUUCGACAUAUUGUUGUUGUGUUUGCCGCUGCCAAAUGGUAUCGGUAGCACCUGUUAGUAGGCUUAUUAUUCCCCCUAGGGAAUCACCACAUACAAGAUAAGCACAUGCUACACAUCUUAUAUGUAAUCCCAUGCAUAUCAAUAUGAACAUCAGUGCACAUGUUAAUAUCUGAUUUCCUAUAAAUUGUUUGGUAUAGUAUUUUUGUUUCAUAAUGGUUAAAUGUACCACCCAGUUAUUUUCAAAUAUAUCUCAUGUUGUAUAUCUUCAUAUUAAUUCAUUUUUUUUUUUGUUUUAAGAUAUGGUAGAACUGACACAAGUUUUUAACCAUAUGAUGGAGGGGUACAUUUUCUGAUGGUGAGAACGAAGUAAUCAUUGAUAGUGUGGAGAAGUAAUGUUUGAAAAACAAUGUGCCAUUAGCAAAGCCAUUAGAUUGUAACUUGCUAAUUGCAACCGAGCUAUGAUACCUGUAUAUUUAUUAUUUAUAUGUUGCAGAAAUAUGAAGCCAUCGAGUUCCAAUGAGUUUGAACAUGUUGUUGAAGCUGUCUGAAGAAACACCAGUUAAUGAGACAUCAAGUAUGUUUGGCAAAAAUCAAACGGUAUUUCUGAAAAAGAAAACAAGUUAGUGAAGUUCUUUGAUGAGUUCACAAAGAUUGGUGUCCUUGAAAUGAAGAUACUUCAAAUGUUUGCUACGUAGUACAAAACAAGGACAGAGUGAAGAUCUUCAUGGCAUGCCCAGUUGAUAGAAGGCUCACCUUGUUGGAAUUCAUGGAGUUGAUAUGAAAAGCAGUAUGCUGAAGGGUCGACAACUUUAGGCUAUUGAUUGUGGCAAAAGGCGAUUCGCUACGGAGGAAGAACUUUAGGCUAUUGAUGAUCAAUAUACCGGUAGUCAAUAUACUUUUCUCGUCAUGUGAUUAAGUAAUAUGACUGAGCUGAUCAGUAUCAAAUGUCUCAGUUGAUAUCGUAUUCUAACUUUGCUUGCUGUUCUGUUCAGCAAUCUGAAUCAACUUGCUGGAUUUUCGCUUCCUGUUCAGUGCCUGAAACAAUUGCUCGCGACCUGUCAGUGUUUUUGUAGCUGUGAAGUGCUUAGCUGUAGCAUAAAUUGUGAUAUAAUUUAGGGUUUGAAUUUCAUUUGAAUGGCCUUCAUGCCUUAGGGCACUCAACUCAUCACAUGUUUAGCUCUUUGUGGCUUACACAUCUGAAUCAACUUGUUGGAUUUUCGCAUC
Zingiber officinale is the source of this 2405-nucleotide long non-coding RNA. RefSeq lists it as uncharacterized. The record is from RefSeq and is a predicted model, not a curated record. The transcript has 3 exons. NCBI's taxonomy places the organism in Eukaryota, Viridiplantae, Streptophyta, Magnoliopsida, Zingiberales, Zingiberaceae.